GAUGAACGCUGGCGGCGUGCCUAAUACAUGCAAGUCGAGCGAACAGACGAGGAGCUUGCUCCUUUGACGUUAGCGGCGGACGGGUGAGUAACACGUAGGUAACCUACCUAUAAGACUGGGAUAACUUCGGGAAACCGGAGCUAAUACCGGAUAAUAUUUCGAACCGCAUGGUUCGAUAGUGAAAGAUGGCUUUGCUAUCACUUAUAGAUGGACCUGCGCCGUAUUAGCUAGUUGGUAAGGUAAAGGCUUACCAAGGCAACGAUACGUAGCCGACCUGAGAGGGGGAUCGGCCACACUGGAACUGAGACACGGUCCAGAGUCCUACGGGAGGCAGCAGUAGGGUAUCGGCCGCAAUGGGCGAAAGCCUGACGGAGCAACGGCGCGUGAGUGAUGAAGGUCUUCGGAGCGUAAAACUCUGUUAUUAGGGAAGAACAAACGUGUAAGUAACUGUGGACGUCUUGACGGUACCUAAACAGAAAGCCACGGCUAACUACGUG
RNAcentral lists this ribosomal RNA (497 nucleotides) under uncultured bacterium. RNAcentral's name for it is "partial 16S ribosomal RNA". It matches the Rfam family "Bacterial small subunit ribosomal RNA", at positions 28 to 507 of the family's 1533-position model. The record is from RNAcentral.